This 245-nucleotide ribosomal RNA is filed under the name Clostridium botulinum. RNAcentral describes it as "partial 23S ribosomal RNA". It matches the Rfam family "Bacterial large subunit ribosomal RNA", at positions 398 to 645 of the family's 2925-position model. RNAcentral also lists the same sequence under 1 other name. Lineage: Bacteria; Bacillati; Bacillota; Clostridia; Eubacteriales; Clostridiaceae. The record is from RNAcentral.
AGAUCUAAUCCAGAGUACCACGAGACACGUGAAACCUUGUGGGAAGCAGGGAGGACCACCUCCCAAGGCUAAAUACUACCUAGUGACCGAUAGUGAAGCAGUACCGUGAGGGAAAGGGGAAAAGAACCCCGGAAGGGGAGUGAAAUAGAACCUGAAACCGUGUGCCUACAACCGAUCGGAGCACGUUAAAGUGUGACGAUGUGCUUUUUGUAGAACGAGCCAGCGAGUUACGCUAUGUAGCAAGG